GACGAACGCUGGCGGCGUGCUUAACACAUGCAAGUCGAACGGAAAGGCCCUGCUUUUGUGGGGUGCUCGAGUGGCGAACGGGUGAGUAACACGUGAGUAACCUGCCCUUGACUUUGGGAUAACUUCAGGAAACUGGGGCUAAUACCGGAUAGGAGCUCCUGCUGCAUGGUGGGGGUUGGAAAGUUUCGGCGGUUGGGGAUGGACUCGCGGCUUAUCAGCUUGUUGGUGGGGUAGUGGCUUACCAAGGCUUUGACGGGUAGCCGGCCUGAGAGGGUGACCGGCCACAUUGGGACUGAGAUACGGCCCAGACCCCUCCGGGAGGCAGCAGUGGGGAAUAUUGCACAAUGGGCGGAAGCCUGAUGCAGCAACGCCGCGGGCGGGAUGACGGCCUUCGGGUUGUAAACCGCUUUCGCCUGUGACGAAGCGUGAGUGACGGUAAUGGGAAAAGAAGCACCGGCUAACUACGU
RNAcentral lists this ribosomal RNA (467 nucleotides) under uncultured bacterium. RNAcentral describes it as "partial 16S ribosomal RNA". It matches the Rfam family "Bacterial small subunit ribosomal RNA", at positions 28 to 506 of the family's 1533-position model. The record is from RNAcentral.